CUGAUUUUUCUCAGCUUCUCAACUGCCCAGAAUUUGUUCCCCGCCAGCACUACCAGAAGGAGACAGAGUCAGCACCUGGCUCUCCCCGUGCAGUCACCCCAGUGCCAACCAAAACAGAAGAGGUCAGCAACCUGAAGACCCUUCCCAAGGGCCUGUCUGCCAGCCUCCCAGAUUUGGAUUCUGAGAGCUGGAUUGAAGUGAAGAAGAGGCCUCGGCCCUCACCAGCACGCCCCAAGGUAGAAGUCAGAGGAACCCAGGUUCUCCCAUCCAACUGCUCUGCCUCAGCAGAUUCCUUCCCAGCAGCUAAUGUCUAAGGAUCAGGAUGAGCAAGAAGAAUUAGACUUCCUGUUUGAUGAGGAGAUGGAGCAGAUGGAUGGGCGGAAGAAUACCUUCACUGCCUGGUCUGACGAGGACUCUGACUAUGAAAUCGACGACCGAGAUGUCAAUAAGAUUCUCAUCGUCACUCAAACACCACCUUAUAUGCGU
RNAcentral lists this long non-coding RNA (486 nucleotides) under Rattus norvegicus (Norway rat). RNAcentral describes it as "long non-coding RNA NONRATT004308". The record is from RNAcentral. Lineage: Eukaryota; Metazoa; Chordata; Mammalia; Rodentia; Muridae.